RNAcentral lists this ribosomal RNA (253 nucleotides) under uncultured microorganism. RNAcentral's name for it is "partial 16S ribosomal RNA". It matches the Rfam family "Bacterial small subunit ribosomal RNA", at positions 524 to 776 of the family's 1533-position model. The record is from RNAcentral.
UACGUAGGGUGCGAGCGUUAAUCGGAUUUACUGGGCGUAAAGCGUACGUAGGCGGCUUGUUAAGCAAGAUGUGAAAUCCCCGGGCUCAACCUGGGAAUGGCAUUUUGAACUGGCAGGCUCGAGUUCUGAAGAGGGUGGUAGAAUUUCCAGUGUAGCGGUGAAAUGCGUAGAUAUUGGAAGGAAUACCGGUGGCGAAGGCGGCCACCUGGUCAGAAACUGACUCUGAGGUACGAAAGCGUGGGGAGCAAACAGG